RNAcentral lists this ribosomal RNA (274 nucleotides) under uncultured bacterium. RNAcentral's name for it is "partial 16S ribosomal RNA". It matches the Rfam family "Bacterial small subunit ribosomal RNA", at positions 523 to 796 of the family's 1533-position model. The record is from RNAcentral.
AUACGGAGGGUGCAAGCGUUACUCGGAAUUACUGGGCGUAAAGCGUUCGUAGGCGGUUUGUUAAGCAAGAUGUGAAAGCCCUGGGCUCAACCUGGGAACUGCAUUUUGAACUGGCAAACUAGAAUACUGUAGAGGGGGGUGGAAUCUCCAGUGUAGCGGUGAAAUGCGUAGAGAUUGGAAGGAAUAUCAGUGGCGAAGGCGGCCACCUGGACAGAUAUUGACGCUGAGGAACGAAAGCGUGGGGAGCGAACAGGAUUAGAAACCCCAGUAGUCC